GACGAACGCUAGCGGCAGGCCUAAUACAUGCAAGUCGAGGGGUAGAGCUAGCUUGCUAGCUUGAGACCGGCGCACGGGUGCGUAACGCGUAUGCAACCUACCCUUUUCUGGGGGAUAGCCCGGAGAAAUCCGGAUUAAUACCGCAUAAGACCACGAUACGGCAUCGUGAUGUGGUCAAACAUUUAUGGGAGAAGGAUGGGCAUGCGUGCCAUUAGCCAGUUGGCGGGGUAACGGCCCACCAAGGCGACGAUGGCUAGGGGAUCUGAGAGGAUGGCCCCCCACACUGGUACUGAGACACGGACCAGACUCCUACGGGAGGCAGCAGUAAGGAAUAUUGGUCAAUGGGGGCAACCCUGAACCAGCCAUGCCGCGUGCAGGACGACGGCCCUCCGGGUUGUAAACUGCUUUUGUACGGGAAUAAACCCCGCUACGUGUAGCGGGCUGAAUGUACCGUAAGAAUAAGGAUCGGCUAACUCCGUGCCAGCAGCCGCGGUAA
RNAcentral lists this ribosomal RNA (496 nucleotides) under uncultured bacterium. RNAcentral's name for it is "partial 16S ribosomal RNA". It matches the Rfam family "Bacterial small subunit ribosomal RNA", at positions 28 to 523 of the family's 1533-position model. The record is from RNAcentral.